AGCAUAAAAGAGUACAUAAAAAUUAAUAUAUUAGUUAGUUGGUUGAUUUAACAAUGAAUAAUCAGUUCUCUGAAAGUAAAUCUGGAGAUUUUGGUCUGACUCCGAUACCAAAUCACCGAGUAACUUUAGAUAUUUCAAUUAUCGCACUCAAAAUUUUCGGUUAUUUUACUUACGACCGGCCAUUUCUUCGUCUUCGUAUUUUUAAUAUAUUUUGUUUAAUCGUCAACUGGGGUAUCGGGCUGAUCUAUUGUCUUUCAAACGCUACUGAUAUUGUUGUUAAUUAUAAUAAUCUUGAGGAUGUUUCCAAUAACUUGGGAUAUCUUGCUCCGAUGAUCACAACUUAUGC
Long non-coding RNA from Cotesia glomerata, 346 nucleotides. RefSeq lists it as uncharacterized. The transcript is spliced from 2 exons. The record is from RefSeq and is a predicted model, not a curated record. NCBI's taxonomy places the organism in Eukaryota, Metazoa, Arthropoda, Insecta, Hymenoptera, Braconidae.